AGACCCGAAACCCGGUGAUCUAGCCAUGGGCAGGUUGAAGGUUGGGUAACACUAACUGGAGGACCGAACCGACUAAUGUUGAAAAAUUAGCGGAUGACCUGUGGCUGGGGGUGAAAGGCCAAUCAAACCGGGAGAUAGCUGGUUCUCCCCGAAAGCUAUUUAGGUAGCGCCUCGUGAAUUCAUCUCCGGGGGUAGAGCACUGUUUCGGCUAGGGGGCCAUCCCGGCUUACCAACCCGAUGCAAACUGCGAAUACCGGAGAAUGUUAUCACGGGAGACACACGGCGGGUGCUAACGUCCGUCGUGAAGAGGGAAACAACCCAGACCGCCAGCUAAGGUCCCAAAGUCAUGGUUAAGUGGGAAACGAUGUGGGAAGGCCCAGACAGCCAGGAUGUUGGCUUAGAAGCAGCCAUCAUUUAAAGAAAGCGUAAUAGCUCACUGGUCGAGUCGGCCUGCGCGGAAGAUGUAACGGGGCUAAACCAUGCACCGAAGCUGCGGCAGCGAACGUAUCACCCAAGACAACUUUACGGAGUUGACGAUUGACGGAGCGAAGCGACGUCAAAGCGUUCAUUAAAGUCGAGUUGGCUUAGGGAUACGUUCGUUGGGUAGGGGAGCGUUCUGUAAGCCUGUGAAGGUGUGUCGUGAGGCAUGCUGGAGGUAUCAGAAGUGCGAAUGCUGACAUAAGUAACGAUAAAGCGGGUGAAAAGCCCGCUCGCCGGAAGACCAAGGGUUCCUGUCCAACGUUAAUCGGGGCAGGGUGAGUCGACCCCUAAGGCGAGGCCGAAAGGCGUAGUCGAUGGGAAACGGGUUAAUAUUCCCGUACUUGGUGUUACUGCGAAGGGGGGACGGAGAAGGCUAUGUUGGCCGGGCGACGGUUGUCCCGGUUUAAGCGUGUAGGUGUGUGUUCCAGGUAAAUCCGGUUCACUUUAACACUGAGGCGUGACGACGAGGCACUACGGUGCUGAAGCAACAAAUGCCCUGCUUCCAGGAAAAGCCUCUAAGCAUCAGGUAACACGAAAUC
Molecule: ribosomal RNA, 1019 nt
Filed under: Salmonella enterica subsp. enterica serovar Typhimurium
Lineage: Bacteria; Pseudomonadati; Pseudomonadota; Gammaproteobacteria; Enterobacterales; Enterobacteriaceae
Description: partial 23S ribosomal RNA
Rfam family: Bacterial large subunit ribosomal RNA
Source: RNAcentral